UUUACAACUCCCAAACCCCUGUGAACAUACCUAUUGUUGCUUCGGCGGGAUCGCCCCGGCGCCCUCGGGCCCGGACCCAGGCGCCCGCCGGAGGACCCAAACUCUUGUCUUUAUGAGUAUCUUCUGAGUAACACAAGCAAAUAAAUUAAAACUUUCAACAACGGAUCUCUUGGUUCUGGCAUCGAUGAAGAACGCAGCGAAAUGCGAUAAGUAAUGUGAAUUGCAGAAUUCCGUGAAUCAUCGAAUCUUUGAACGCACAUUGCGCCCGCUAGUAUUCUGGCGGGCAUGCCUGUUCGAGCGUCAUUUCAACCCUCAAGCCCCCCGGGCUUGGUGUUGGGGAUCGGCCCGCCCCUCGCGGCGAGCCGGCCCCGAAAUCUAGUGGCGGUCUCGCUGUAGCUUCCUCUGCGUAGUAAUACACCUCGCUCCGGAACGCGGCGCGGCCACGCCGUAAAACCCCCCACUUCUGAAGGUUGACCUCGGAUCAGGUAGGAAUACCCGCUGAACUUA
This 507-nucleotide ribosomal RNA is filed under the name fungal sp. AB33. RNAcentral describes it as "eukaryotic LSU rRNA". The stretch from base 150 to 303 matches the Rfam family "5.8S ribosomal RNA". Lineage: Eukaryota; Fungi. The record is from RNAcentral.